This 465-nucleotide ribosomal RNA is filed under the name Vreelandella stevensii. RNAcentral's name for it is "partial 16S ribosomal RNA". It matches the Rfam family "Bacterial small subunit ribosomal RNA", at positions 338 to 795 of the family's 1533-position model. The record is from RNAcentral. Lineage: Bacteria; Pseudomonadati; Pseudomonadota; Gammaproteobacteria; Oceanospirillales; Halomonadaceae.
CCUACGGGUGGCUGCAGUGGGGAAUAUUGGACAAUGGGGGGAACCCUGAUCCAGCCAUGCCGCGUGUGUGAAGAAGGCCCUCGGGUUGUAAAGCACUUUCAGUGAGGAAGAACGCCUGGUGGUUAAUACCCAUCAGGAAAGACAUCACUCACAGAAGAAGCACCGGCUAACUCCGUGCCAGCAGCCGCGGUAAUACGGAGGGUGCGAGCGUUAAUCGGAAUUACUGGGCGUAAAGCGCGCGUAGGUGGCUUGAUAAGCCGGUUGUGAAAGCCCCGGGCUCAACCUGUGAACGGCAUCCGGAACUGUCAAGCUAGAGUGCAGGAGAGGAAGGUAGAAUUCCCGGUGUAGCGGUGAAAUGCGUAGAGAUCGGGAGGAAUACCAGUGGCGAAGGCGGCCUUCUGGACUGACACUGACACUGAGGUGCGAAAGCGUGGGUAGCAAACAGGAUUAGAUACCCUUGUAGUC